Capsella rubella is the source of this 620-nucleotide long non-coding RNA. RefSeq lists it as uncharacterized. NCBI's taxonomy places the organism in Eukaryota, Viridiplantae, Streptophyta, Magnoliopsida, Brassicales, Brassicaceae. The record is from RefSeq and is a predicted model, not a curated record. The transcript has 2 exons.
UAAAAAAAAACUUCUUACUUACUCUGAAACUCCUUUUAUAGCCAAAUGUUCCAAUACUCUGCUCAAGCUUCUCUCUCGUUUUCUCCUUUCCCGAGCGUCUAGCAUAGAUAACAUCACCCUACAAGAUGUUGUUUAUGAAGAACACAAACUCAAAUGGAGAAAAGACCUACAUGGGAAAGUGUUAACGGAAGGAAGGCCUAGAUGGGAAGGUGUUUUGGAGACGGAGAGUAAUAUAUGAUGGUGGGAGAGAAUCUUAUGGAACAGACAAGUCGAUAUGAACCUUAGAGAAAUGUGUCAUACUUUGAUUAUGUGUCAAACGAAUAAGUGAGGAUGUAAUAAGUGAGUAAGAGUGAUUAUAUGAUGUAAUAAGUGUAGUGUGUGUGUGACGUAGUGUGACUGCUGGUAAAUUUGUGAAGUGUCUAGAUGAGAUAGUGAGGAUGUGGAUGAUAUAGGUAGAAUGUGGGUGUAUGUGUUGUAUAGGGUGUGGAGGAUGGUAUAGAUGAAUGUGUUGGUUGUGGUCGUGUGUAGAUGAGAUGAAUGUGUAAUUUUAAAGCUAUAACUGUAACUUAAUUUCUCAUAAUAAUUAAUAAAUCUAAAGACGAUAAAAAACUGUAACUUAA